RNAcentral lists this ribosomal RNA (253 nucleotides) under uncultured bacterium. RNAcentral's name for it is "partial 16S ribosomal RNA". It matches the Rfam family "Bacterial small subunit ribosomal RNA", at positions 524 to 776 of the family's 1533-position model. The record is from RNAcentral.
GACGUAGGGGGCGAGCGUUGUCCGGAUUUACUGGGCGUAAAGCGCGUGUAGGUGGUUCGUUAAGUGGCGCGUGAAAGUUCGCAGCUCAACUGCGAAUCGUCGUGCCAUACUGGCGGGCUUGAGGGCAGCAGAGGAUGGUGGAAUUCCCGGUGUAGCGGUGAAAUGCGUAGAUAUCGGGAGGAACGCCAGUGGUGAAGACGGCCAUCUGGGCUGUCCCUGACGCUGAGACGCGAAAGCUAGGGUAGCGAACGGG